UCAACAGAUUGCAAUUACCUGAUAUGUUCCGUACGAGAUGAUACAAUAAAACUAUUAGAUUUACGCAAGAAUCAAGUUAUAUCCACCUUUGCCAAUGAACACUUCAAGGUCAGUUGUGACUUUGCUCGUGCAUCCUUCAAUUCUGGAGCUACGAAAAUCGCCUGCGGUUCUGCAGAUGGUGCAAUAUAUAUAUGGAAUGUGAAUGGUUUUCUCGAAACGACGCUCAAAGGGCACAGCACGGCCGUGAAUGCAGUCAGCUGGAGUCCAAAUAGUAAUUCCCUGGCCUCAGUUGGUAAAAGUAAAAGAUGCAUCAUCUAUUCCGAUUCGUAGCCCACAGAUGAAAUUCCCUCCAGCUAUUUGUUAUAAUUGUGCACUCAACUCCAGCAUGCAUUCAGCUAUAUAUCUAUGGUAUAUAUAGUUACUAUAUGGGGACUAUGGUGAAUUGUUAUCGUCUAUGUUGUCCCGUCAUUGGUUAGCACCUCGUUGAAAUUAUAAUUUAUGCGUUUUGAUGUUAUACAAUUACUUAUUUCUUGCAACACUUCAUCAACGAAUUAAACAUUUUCUAUGUGACAUAA
Drosophila innubila is the source of this 575-nucleotide long non-coding RNA. RefSeq lists it as uncharacterized. The record is from RefSeq and is a predicted model, not a curated record. The transcript has 3 exons. Lineage: Eukaryota; Metazoa; Arthropoda; Insecta; Diptera; Drosophilidae.